GACGACCAGCAGCGAAAGCAUCUGUCAGGGAUGUUUUCUGCGACAAAGGACGAAGGUCAGGGUAUCGAAGACGAUUAGAUACCGUCGUAGUCCUGACUGUAAACUAUGCCAACUUGGGUCUUGAACGAGACCUCGGCCUUGUAAAUAGCUAUGCUGCUUACAGGGACAUUGGCGGCUACGCCAAGGAAGCUCGAGGCAAUUGCAGAUCUGGAAUGCCCUUAGAUGUCCUGGGUCGCACGCGUGCUACAAUGACGCCACGAACGAGCUUGCGUGAUGAAAGUUACGCAUAAUCAGCAGUCGGCGUCUUAAGGGAUAGUCUCUUGUAACUGUGGGACUCCAACUAGGAAUGUCUCGUAAGCACAAGUCAACAUCUUGUGUUGAUUACGUCCCUGCUCUUUGUACACACCGCCCGUCGCUCCUACCGAUCGAGUGUUUAGGUGAAUUUGAUGGACGUAAGGAAGUCAAAUAAACCUGAGCACUAGAGAAGAGAAGUCGAUAUC
RNAcentral lists this ribosomal RNA (500 nucleotides) under uncultured Myrionecta. Its description in RNAcentral is "bacterial SSU rRNA". It matches the Rfam family "Eukaryotic small subunit ribosomal RNA", at positions 934 to 1795 of the family's 1831-position model. Lineage: Eukaryota; Ciliophora; Litostomatea; Cyclotrichida; Mesodiniidae. The record is from RNAcentral.